RNAcentral lists this ribosomal RNA (283 nucleotides) under Arthrobacter sp. AB(2010). Its description in RNAcentral is "partial 16S ribosomal RNA". It matches the Rfam family "Bacterial small subunit ribosomal RNA", at positions 210 to 505 of the family's 1533-position model. Lineage: Bacteria; Bacillati; Actinomycetota; Actinomycetes; Micrococcales; Micrococcaceae. The record is from RNAcentral.
CUUUUGUGGUUUUGGAUGGACUCGCGGCCUAUCAGCUUGUUGGUGGGGUAAUGGCCUACCAAGGCGACGACGGGUAGCCGGCCUGAGAGGGUGACCGGCCACACUGGGACUGAGACACGGCCCAGACUCCUACGGGAGGCAGCAGUGGGGAAUAUUGCACAAUGGGCGCAAGCCUGAUGCAGCGACGCCGCGUGAGGGAUGACGGCCUUCGGGUUGUAAACCUCUUUCAGUAGGGAAGAAGCGUAAGUGACGGUACCUGCAGAAGAAGCGCCGGCUAACUACG